GACGAACGCUGGCGGCGUGCUUAACACAUGCAAGUCGAACGGAAAGGCCUCUUUCGGGGGGUACUCGAGUGGCGAACGGGUGAGUAACACGUGAGUAACCUGCCCUUGACUUUGGGAUAACUUCAGGAAACUGGGGCUAAUACCGGAUAGGAGCUCCUGCUGCAUGGUGGGGGUUGGAAAGUUUCGGCGGUUGGGGAUGGACUCGCGGCUUAUCAGCUUGUUGGUGGGGUAGUGGCUUACCAAGGCGUUGACGGGUAGCCGGCCUGAGAGGGUGACCGGCCACAUUGGGACUGAGAUACGGCCCAGGCUCCUACGGGAGGCAGCAGUGGGGAAUAUUGCACAAUGGGUGGAAGCCUGAUGCAGCAACGCCGUGUGCGGGAUGACGGCCUUCGGGUUGUAAACCGCUUUCGCUCAUGACGAAGCUUUGUGUGACGGUAGUGGGUAAAGAAGCACCGGCUAACUACGUG
Molecule: ribosomal RNA, 467 nt
Filed under: uncultured bacterium
Lineage: Bacteria
Description: partial 16S ribosomal RNA
Rfam family: Bacterial small subunit ribosomal RNA
Source: RNAcentral